UACGGAGGGUGCAAGCGUUAAUCGGAAUUACUGGGCGUAAAGCGUGCGUAGGUGGUGAGUUAAGUCUGAUGUGAAAUCCCCGGGCUCAACCUGGGAAUGGCAUUGGAUACUGGCUCGCUAGAGUGCGGUAGAGGGUGGUGGAAUUCCCGGUGUAGCAGUGAAAUGCGUAGAGAUCGGGAGGAACAUCUGUGGCGAAGGCGGCCACCUGGACCAACACUGACACUGAGGCACGAAAGCGUGGGGAGCAAACAGG
This 253-nucleotide ribosomal RNA is filed under the name uncultured bacterium. Its description in RNAcentral is "partial 16S ribosomal RNA". It matches the Rfam family "Bacterial small subunit ribosomal RNA", at positions 524 to 776 of the family's 1533-position model. The record is from RNAcentral.